GACGAAGGUGGCUAGCGUUGUUCGGAAUCACUGGGCUUAAAGAGCACGUAGGCGGCCUGUUAAGCACCUUGUGAAAUCCCCCGGCUUAACCGGGGAAUUGCUUGGUGUACUGGCAGGCUUGAGGCAAGUAAGGGCGCGUGGAACUCUUGGUGGAGCGGUGAAAUGCGUAGAUAUCAAGAGGAACGCCGGAGGCGAAAGCGAUGCGCUGGGCUUGUCCUGACGCUGAGGUGCGAAAGCCAGGGGAGCAAACGGG
This 253-nucleotide ribosomal RNA is filed under the name uncultured bacterium. RNAcentral's name for it is "partial 16S ribosomal RNA". It matches the Rfam family "Bacterial small subunit ribosomal RNA", at positions 524 to 776 of the family's 1533-position model. The record is from RNAcentral.